This 253-nucleotide ribosomal RNA is filed under the name uncultured bacterium. Its description in RNAcentral is "partial 16S ribosomal RNA". It matches the Rfam family "Bacterial small subunit ribosomal RNA", at positions 524 to 776 of the family's 1533-position model. The record is from RNAcentral.
UACGGGGGGGGCAAGCGUUGUUCGGAAUUACUGGGCGUAAAGGGCUCGUAGGCGGCCAACUAAGUCAGACGUGAAAUCCCUCGGCUUAACCGGGGAACUGCGUCUGAUACUGGAUGGCUUGAGUUUGGGAGAGGGAUGCGGAAUUCCUGGUGUAGCGGUGAAAUGCGCAGAUAUCAGGAGGAACACCAAUUGCGAAGGCAGCUCGCUGGGACGUUACUGACGCUGAGACGCGAAAGCGUGGGGAGCAAACAGG